GAUGAAGAACGUAGUGAAAUGCGAUAAGUAGUGUGAAUUGCAGAAUUCAGUGAAUCAUCGAAUCUUUGAACGCACAUUGCGCCCCUUGGUAUCCCGAGGGGCAUGCCUGUUCGAGCGUCAUUUCACCACUCAAGCCUGGCUUGGUGUUGGGCGACGUCCCCUUUGGGGACGCGCCUCGAAACGCUCGGCGGCGUGGCACCGGCUUUAAGCGUAGCAGAAUCUUUCGCUUUGGAAGUCGGGGCCCCGUCUGCCGGAAGACCUACUCGCAAGGUUGACCUCGGAUCAGGCAGGGAUACCCGCUGAACUUAAGCAUAUCAAUAGCGGAGGA
Molecule: unclassified non-coding RNA, 328 nt
Filed under: soil metagenome
Description: partial contains 5.8S ribosomal RNA, internal transcribed spacer 2, and large subunit ribosomal RNA
Rfam family: 5.8S ribosomal RNA (bases 1-120)
Source: RNAcentral